AGUCCCGGGUGCAUUUUUUGGCAUUUUUUCCUCAAUCUCUUUUUUUCUCCUCGACUCCUCGACUGUAGGUUAUUUUUCAAUCCAACUCCUCAUAUCUUAAUGUUAUUCUGUCUCUCAGCAAUAUGUAAUGGUGUACAUAGUAGAACUAUUUAUUAAGAGUAUUAUACUUUUUUUAAGUUAUAUUUUUAAUGUUAACAUAAGUUAUUUUUACAUCGUAUAUGAUUUUUUAUAUAUCUAUAUAUAUAUAUACAUACUAUAUAAUAUAAUAUAAUAUGACCAUGUUCCUUUUUUGAAAUCCAGUCUAUAUUCCAUACAUUGCCUGGGUUUCCAACUUCCCUGGUUAACCUAACUGUACUGCACAGAAAGCCUAAGGAGAAGGCUCAGAAGGAGAAGGAGUUCAUUGAUGCGGACAGUGGGCUUCUCUGUGGACUCCUUCCAUCUCCAUGGCGAUCGUCUCAUUCACACACACACACACACACACACACACACACACACACUGCUGAGCGCUACUGGCUGACUAGAAAGUACACACACUCUGUCUGCAAACAGCUUGUUGCUUUUUUCCAGACACCCACCCCGUGCAAGAGCCUCAAACCGGGGGGGAGGGGCCGGAUGGCUCCCACAGAACUGUGCUGUGUUCCUCUAGUGUUGAAAUGCAGCCCGCAGGUGCAGCGGGGGGCCCCGCUGAACAGUCAGGUCGAGAACGGAUUCGGUACCUGAUCUGGGGCAGGUCUGCACUAGUUCUGGGCCAGACCUCUUCCCCGGAUCUUGGUGCUGUCCAGGAGAGGUGGAGAGGAGGGGAGGGGUGCUGAGUGGAGCAGGUGGGCGGAGAGGAGAGGAGAGGAGGGCGCUGCUUUUCCUGGCGCGGGGCUCUGUUUGCCCAGGUGUGAAAAUGUGUACACUGGGAGCCGGGCCCCCCUGAGCAGCCCCUUCUGGCAAAGAGCCCUCCCAGGGGCCGCAGGGUGACUCAGACUUUCUCCUGGAGGUGGUAGCUGCCCCUGAGGGAACUCCCCGCUCCCAUCCACACCUCCACCCCCGCCUCGCCCUUCUCCGCCCCUACCCGGCACAAGACACCGAGCAUGGGGCACGCAAGGGUGCAGUUGCAGCUGCUGCUGAGCUAGAACUGAACGCUGAAGUUCUUAGUUCCAUCACAGAGAACAGAACUCACCGGGAGGUUCCAAAGACAUGGAAUGGAAUACCUGGAGAAGUCUAGAAGCCUGCUCCUUUUCAAAGUGCUUUGAGUUGUUGACCGGGAUUUGGGACUCUGUGUGUGUGUUGGCCUAAGAAGCCUAGUGUCUGGGGGAUUGGGGAAGUCACAGUCAUUAGGUUGAGUGGGCGAGCUUCGCAGGAUCGUCAUUUUCAUAGCAUUGCGAUGGGUUGGCAUGCAUUGAUGCAGAGAAUUGCUGAGGUUAAACUGAAUAGGGGAAACUGUCACGUAUAUACAGUAUGUAUCACAAGGAUAUCUAAUGAUUUUAUUUUAAUACAACAUACCCAGUUGUUCCACAGAUAUAUUUUAAGAUGUAAAUACUGAUAUUAUAUGAUGAUUGUACUUGCAAAUCAUAACUUUUUUGGUUUAAGAUAGCUGUUGCAUUGCUAAUGGAGACAUUAUAAAUGAUGUUGGCAAAUAAUUUGUGCAUUAUGUCCCUAUAGCGCGUGCAUAAAGCCUUGUCAACACACUUGUCAUAAACGGUCAUUAAUGUUGGUAAAUGUUUAUGCAAGCACUGUCGAUGGGCUGAAAAUACCAUAUUGUUUAUUUGUGCCUAUGUCAAGAUGGAUGAUCAUAAUAUACCUUUUUUGUGAGCAGAAAUACAUGUUGUGGAAGUAAUAUGAAAUUGUCAAUAUGAAAUCUUUGCUAUAGAACAAAAUGACAAAAAAAAAAAAAAUCUAAGAUCAUGGUAUGUCAGUGUCAUCUUGGAACGUUUUAUUUUCAUAUGAUCUCUCAUCUUUACAAUUUGACUUUCUGAUUAAAGUGCACUGAACGGCAGCAAGAAAGUCAGCUAGACAUCAUCUCUCUCUCUUUCUCUUUCUCUCUCUCUCUCUCUAACUCACUGCACACAAGCACUGUCUCCCUGACAUUGCAUCAGAUCUAGAACACUGUACACUCGGUCUCCACCAUCACUGCUUCAGACUGGUGGAAAUCUCUGGUAAUACUACUCUUGACCUCUCUGUCAUAUGACCAACAUGACCAUGUCUUAAACAUGACCAUCAGUGUUGAAUAUCAAGACGGUGUCAUGUUACUAUAACUGAUCACGGCAGCUCUCUCAUGACAGAAUGUUUGAUGCCAUUUCAGCUUACAAGCACGUGACAUAAGCUGUUACAGCACUUAAUAUUCUGUCAUGGCAGUUGCUGAAAUUUGUAAUAUGACAUUGGGAAACAAUGAUUAUAACAUGGUGAUAUCAGUCUUAUGACCAAGGGUUCAAGUAAAGUGGUAUGACAUCUUCUUUCUACACAACUUAGGCAAAAUGCACUUUUUUGGGCACAUACCACACUUCUUUGUUAGACUUUAAUUAUUACUAUUAUUGUUAAUUAUAAUAUUGAUAUCAUUAUUAUUAUUUUUUGUUCUUUGCUCGUUACAUUUUCACCGUUCCCAAAGUUGGAUGGUUUUGGUACUCUGCACCAUAAGAGACACUCAGCUGGUCGAUCCUGAUUUUGGUAGGUUCAUUAAAAAAAAAAAGAAGUGCUUAACUAAACCGAGUAACAAUGUUAAUUUUCUUGUCAUGUAUUGUGCAUAAAUAAAACACUGGUUAAGUGAACAUAAGCAACAGAGACUUGGAGUGUGCUUCUUUUGGUCACUGGCACAGGAACUGUCUACUUACUGUCUGUUCACAUCCUCUCUCUUCUUGGGUGAACUACUGGAGCGAGACUUAAAUGACGUAACAUAAAAUGACAUAAAAUAAAAUGACUUAAAAUUAUAUAAAAUAACUUACAUGACAUACAAAAU
Molecule: long non-coding RNA, 2941 nt
Organism: Clupea harengus (Atlantic herring)
Lineage: Eukaryota; Metazoa; Chordata; Actinopteri; Clupeiformes; Clupeidae
Source: Ensembl